UUGAUGACGAGUGGCGGACGGGUGAGUAAUGCUUGGGAAUCUGGCUUAUGGAGGGGGAUAACUACGGGAAACUGUAGCUAAUACCGCGUAGUAUCGGAAGAUGAAAGUGCGGGACCGCAAGGCCGCAUGCCAUGAGAUGAGCCCAAGUGGGAUUAGGUAGUUGGUGAGGUAAAGGCUCACCAAGCCGACGAUCUCUAGCUGGUCUGAGAGGAUGGCCAGCCACACUGGAACUGAGACACGGUCCAGACUCC
RNAcentral lists this ribosomal RNA (251 nucleotides) under uncultured Haemophilus sp. RNAcentral's name for it is "partial 16S ribosomal RNA". It matches the Rfam family "Bacterial small subunit ribosomal RNA", at positions 85 to 339 of the family's 1533-position model. The record is from RNAcentral. Lineage: Bacteria; Pseudomonadati; Pseudomonadota; Gammaproteobacteria; Pasteurellales; Pasteurellaceae.